CCACUCUUCUGGCAAUUUUCAGGAGGUGGUAACAUGAAUUCUCAUUAUUAUAUUUAUAAAGCGCCAACAGAUUCUGCAGCGCUGUACAAUUAGUGGAGAACAUACAAUAUACACAGACAAAUACAAAAGGUAGAGAGGGCCCUGCCCGUAAGAUGAGAUCUAGCCAUUUAAGCUCUUUUAUACGCAGUGCAUUGCUAGAUAGCCUAUGAGCUUACAAUCUAAAGGAUACCAUGGGGAUUUGAGACAAGAGGUAGCAGGGGGGAAGAGAGAUUAUAAAGAGUGAGUUAUUUUCAUAUGAGAUCGCAAUUGUUCUAGAACUUUUUCUUUAAAUCAAUUCGGAUUACUAAUGUUACUCUCUGAGAUAUUUUUAAUUUCUACUCAAUUACAAGCCGCACAACUUUCAAUACCUGUCCAUGUACACAGGGCCUUAGAUGCAAGCCAUACCUGAAUAUUUUAAUGUGCUUAAUAUCGAAGUACAAGAACAUUACAGUGCUGUCUGCGUAAAAAACAAUUUUAACCGCACAAGCCUCACUCUUCAAUGCAAAUAUUGGUGUUAUAAGAAAUAAUUUGGUGAGGACUUGUAUUUAAGCUGGGAUUAGUUUGAGGACCAAAUAACCUAUAGGACGCAGUGAAUGCAGGGCAAAGCAAAAACAAAAGGUAUUUAUUCGCUUAACCACGAAUUGUUGUAAACUGACAAAUGUAGGCCAAAAAAGCUAUCUUGGACACAUUUUUAGUGAACAAGUCACAAAAUAAUAUGUGUGAGCCAGAAAAGUGGUUCUGGAAGAAAUUUUUAUAUACAACGCCCUAACACAUUAAAUGUAUACAUUUGCAUCAAUACAGACUUUUUUUUUUUAGAUUCUAUAUAUUUAAGUCGAGUUACUGAUGGGAUUAAUG
Pelobates cultripes (western spadefoot toad) is the source of this 894-nucleotide non-coding RNA. The record is from the annotation of a GenBank genome assembly. Lineage: Eukaryota; Metazoa; Chordata; Amphibia; Anura; Pelobatidae.